Molecule: ribosomal RNA, 364 nt
Filed under: Culex quinquefasciatus (southern house mosquito)
Lineage: Eukaryota; Metazoa; Arthropoda; Insecta; Diptera; Culicidae
Description: partial 16S ribosomal RNA
Source: RNAcentral
AAUUAAAGGGCCGCAGUAUUUUGACUGUGCGAAGGUAGCAUAAUCACUAGUCUUUUAAUUGGAGGCUUGUAUGAAUGGUUGAAUGAGAUAUAUACUGUCUUUUUUAAAAUUAUAUAGAAUUUUAUUUUUUAAUUAAAAAGUUAAAAUAAAAUUAAAGGACGAGAAGACCCUAUAGAUCUUUAUUUUUGUUAUUUAUAAAUUAAAAAGAAUUUUAAAAUUUAUAAUUUAAUAAAAAAUUUUAUUGGGGUGAUAUUAAAAUUUAAAAAACUUUUAAAAUUUAUUAACAUAAAUAUAUGAAUAAAUGAUCCAGUUUUAUUGAUUAAAAAUUUAAGUUACCUUAGGGAUAACAGCGUAAUUUUUUUUU